UCUCCGUUGGUGAACCAGCGGAGGGAUCAUUACAGAGUUUUCUAACUCCCAAACCCUUUGUGAACUUACUAUUUUGUUGCCUCGGCGGGCCUCUGAGAUUCGUCUCACGUCCGCCGGCGGCCCAUUAAACUCUGUUACUUAUUAGCAAUCUGAGCGUUUUCCAAAGAUAAAGUUAAAACUUUCAACAACGGAUCUCUUGGUUCUGGCAUCGAUGAAGAACGCAGC
This 225-nucleotide unclassified non-coding RNA is filed under the name uncultured fungus. RNAcentral's name for it is "sequence contains ITS1, 5.8S rRNA gene". The stretch from base 177 to 225 matches the Rfam family "5.8S ribosomal RNA", at positions 1 to 49 of the family's 154-position model. The record is from RNAcentral. Lineage: Eukaryota; Fungi.